CCUACGGGAGGCAGCAGUGAGGAAUAUUGGUCAAUGGGCGCGAGCCUGAACCAGCCAAGUAGCGUGAAGGAUGACUGCCCUACGGGUUGUAAACUUCUUUUAUAAAGGAAUAAAGUGAGGCACGUGUGCCUUUUUGUAUGUACUUUAUGAAUAAGGAUCGGCUAACUCCGUUCCAGCAGCCGCGGUAAUACGGAGGAUCCGAGCGUUAUCCGGAUUUAUUGGGUUUAAAGGGAGCGUAGAUGGGUUGUUAAGUCAGUUGUGAAAGUUUGCGGCUCAACCGUAAAAUUGCAAUUGAUACUGGCAGUCUUGAGUACAGUUGAGGUAGGCGGAAUUCGUGGUGUAGCGGUGAAAUGCGUAGAGAUCACGAAGAACUCCGAUUGCGAAGGCAGCUUACUAAACUGCCACUGACAUUGAUGCUCGAAAGUGUGGGGAGCAAACAGGAUUAGAUACCCGAGUAGUC
This 460-nucleotide ribosomal RNA is filed under the name uncultured bacterium. Its description in RNAcentral is "partial 16S ribosomal RNA". It matches the Rfam family "Bacterial small subunit ribosomal RNA", at positions 338 to 795 of the family's 1533-position model. The record is from RNAcentral.